GCGUCGGUGGCGGAGUGGUCAAUCGCAAAAGACUGUAAAUCUUUCGCCCAUUGGGCUACGCAGGUUCGAAUCCUGCCCGACGCA
RNAcentral lists this transfer RNA (84 nucleotides) under Minisyncoccota bacterium. RNAcentral describes it as "tRNA-Tyr". It matches the Rfam family "tRNA". From Rfam's summary of the family: Transfer RNA (tRNA) molecules are approximately 80 nucleotides in length. Lineage: Bacteria; Bacillati; Minisyncoccota. The record is from RNAcentral.